Molecule: ribosomal RNA, 402 nt
Filed under: uncultured bacterium
Lineage: Bacteria
Description: bacterial SSU rRNA
Rfam family: Bacterial small subunit ribosomal RNA
Source: RNAcentral
UGGGGAAUAUUGCACAAUGGGCGAAAGCCUGAUGCAGCAACGCCGCGUGAGUGAUGAAGGCCUUCGGGUUGUAAAGCUCUGUCUUCUGGGACGAUAAUGACGGUACCAGAGGAGGAAGCCACGGCUAACUACGUGCCAGCAGCCGCGGUAAUACGUAGGUGGCAAGCGUUGUCCGGAUUUACUGGGCGUAAAGGAUGCGUAGGCGGAUACUUAAGUCAGAUGUGAAAAUCCCGGGCUUAACUUGGGAACUGCAUUUGAAACUGGGUAGCUAGAGUGCGGGAGAGGAUAGUGGAAUUCCUAGUGUAGCGGUGAAAUGCGUAGAGAUUAGGAAGAACACCAGUGGCGAAGGCGACUUUCUGGACCGUAACUGACGCUGAGGCAUGAAAGCGUGGGGAGCAAACA